This 763-nucleotide ribosomal RNA is filed under the name uncultured organism. Its description in RNAcentral is "bacterial SSU rRNA". It matches the Rfam family "Bacterial small subunit ribosomal RNA", at positions 166 to 961 of the family's 1533-position model. The record is from RNAcentral.
AUACCGGAUAAGCCUUUGGGUAAAAGAUUUAUUGCCCCAAGAGGAGCUCGCGUCUGAUUAGCUAGUCGGUGAGGUAAAAGCUCACCAAGGCAGCGAUCAGUAGCUGGUCUGAGAGGACGAUCAGCCACACUGGGACUGAGACACGGCCCAGACUCCUACGGGAGGCAGCAGUGGGGAAUUUUCCGCAAUGGGCGAAAGCCUGACGGAGCAAGACCGCGUGAGGGAGGAAGGCUCUUGGGUUGUAAACCUCUUUUCUCAGGGAAGAAGCUCUGACGGUACCUGAGGAAUCAGCCUCGGCUAACUCCGUGCCAGCAGCCGCGGUAAUACGGAGGAGGCAAGCGUUAUCCGGAAUUAUUGGGCGUAAAGCGUCCGCAGGUGGCGAUUCAAGUCUGCUGUCAAAGCACGGGGCUUAACUCCGUUAAGGCAGUGGAAACUGAAUAGCUAGAGUGCCGUAGGGGUAGAGGGAAUUCCCGGUGUAGCGGUGAAAUGCGUAGAGAUCGGGAAGAACAUCGGUGGCGAAAGCGCUCUACUGGACGGCAACUGACACUCAGGGACGAAAGCUAGGGGAGCGAAUGGGAUUAGAUACCCCAGUAGUCCUGGCUGUAAACGAUGGAUACUAGGUGUAGCUUGUAUCGACCCGAGCUGUGCCGAAGCUAACGCGUUAAGUAUCCCGCCUGGGGAGUACGCACGCAAGUGUGAAACUCAAAGGAAUUGACGGNGGCCCGCACAAGCGGUGGAGUAUGUGGUUUAAUUCGAUGCAACG